RNAcentral lists this ribosomal RNA (253 nucleotides) under uncultured bacterium. Its description in RNAcentral is "partial 16S ribosomal RNA". It matches the Rfam family "Bacterial small subunit ribosomal RNA", at positions 524 to 776 of the family's 1533-position model. The record is from RNAcentral.
UCCGUAGGGUGCAAGCGUUGUCCGGAAUUAUUGGGCGUAAAGAGCUCGUAGGCGGUCUGUUGCGUCGGCUGUGAAAACCCGGGGCUCAACUCCGGGCCUGCAGCCGAUACGGGCAGACUAGAGUUCGGCAGGGGAGACUGGAAUUCCUGGUGUAGCGGUGAAAUGCGCAGAUAUCAGGAGGAACACCGGUGGCGAAGGCGGGUCUCUGGGCCGAUACUGACGCUGAGGAGCGAAAGCGUGGGGAGCGAACAGG